Podarcis lilfordi (Lilford's wall lizard) is the source of this 88-nucleotide non-coding RNA. The record is from the annotation of a GenBank genome assembly. Lineage: Eukaryota; Metazoa; Chordata; Lepidosauria; Squamata; Lacertidae.
UCUAGGGGGCUUUUCCCCAAGGAGGGAGAAGGGCAGCCUGUCUGUGAUGGGCUGCCCUUCUUCCUCCUUGGGGAAAAGCCUGCAAGCG